This 460-nucleotide ribosomal RNA is filed under the name uncultured bacterium. RNAcentral's name for it is "bacterial SSU rRNA". It matches the Rfam family "Bacterial small subunit ribosomal RNA", at positions 29 to 476 of the family's 1533-position model. The record is from RNAcentral.
AUGAACGCUGGCGGCGUGCUUAACACAUGCAAGUCGAACGAGGCGGAGGGGGCAACUCCUUCCAGCCGAGUGGCGGGACGGGUGAGUAACACGUGGGUAACCUGCCCGGAAGUGAGGAAUACCUCGGGGAAACUCGAGCUAAUAUCGCAUGACAUCUUCGGGACGAAAGUCCUGACGAUCAAAGCGGGGUCGCAAGAUCUCGCGCUGCCGGAUGGGCCCGCGCCCGAUUAGCAGUUGGUGAGGUAACGGCUCACCAAGGCUUCGAUCGGUAACCGGCCUGAGAGGGCGAUCGGUCACACCGGAACUGAGACACGGUCCGGACUCCUACGGGAGGCAGCAGUGGGGAAUCUUGCGCAAUGGGCGAAAGCCUGACGCAGCAACGCCGCGUGGAGGAUGAAGGCCUGGGUUGUAAACUCCUGUCGCUGGGAAGAAAUCGUUCGGGUCAAUACCCCCGGACGUU